UCCUUCGGGAGCGAGUAAAGUGGCGGACGGGUGAGUAACGCGUAGGAAUCUACCUUUCAGUGGGGGAUAGCUCGGGGAAACUCGAAUUAAUACCGCAUACACCCUUCGGGGGAAAGGGGGCCUCUCCUUGGAAGCUCUCGCUGUUAGAUGAGCCUGCGUGAGAUUAGCUUGUUGGUAAGGUAAUGGCUUACCAAGGCUACGAUCUCUAGCUGGUCUGAGAGGACGAUCAGCCACACUGGGACUGAGACACGGCCCAGACUCCUACGGGAGGCAGCAGUAGGGAAUAUUGGACAAUGGGGGCAACCCUGAUCCAGGCAUGCCGCGUGUGUGAAGAAGGCCUUAGGGUUGUAAAGCACUUUAAGUGAGGAAGAAAAGAUUUAAAUUAAUACUUUAAGUCCCUGACAUUACUCACAGAAUAAGGACCGGCUAACUCCGUGCCAGCAGCCGCGGUAAUACGGAGGGUCCAAGCGUUAAUCGGAAUUACUGGGCGUAAAGCGCGCGUAGAUGGUUUAUUCAGUUGGGUGUGAAAUCCCUGGGCUCAACCUAGGAACUGCAUUCAAAACUUAUAAACUAGAGUACGAAAGAGGAGAGUAGAAUUCAUGGUGUAGCGGUGAAAUGCGUAGAGAUCAUGAGGAAUACCAGUGGCGAAGGCGACUCUCUGGUUCGAGACUGACAUUGAGGUGCGAAAGCGUGGGUAGCAAACAGGAUUAGAUACCCUGGUAGUCCACGCCGUAAACGAUGAGAACUAGCCGUUGGAUCUUUAGAUUCAGUGGCGCAGCUAACGCAUUAAGUUCUCCGCCUGGGGA
Molecule: ribosomal RNA, 806 nt
Filed under: uncultured SAR86 cluster bacterium
Lineage: Bacteria; Pseudomonadati; Pseudomonadota; Gammaproteobacteria
Description: SSU rRNA
Rfam family: Bacterial small subunit ribosomal RNA
Source: RNAcentral